UACUGUAACAGUUCAGUGUGUUAUAGUGUCUCUAGGAGGUGAACUACUGUAACAGUUCAGUGUGUUAUAGUGUCUCUUGGAGGUGAACUACUGUAACAGUUCAGUGUGUUAUAGUGUCUCUAGGAGAUGUACUACUGUAACAGUUCAGUGUGUUCUAGUGUCUCUCUCUAUGUAGUGAACUACUGUAACAGUUCAGUGUGUUCUAGUGUCUCUCUCUAUGUAAUGUACUACUGUAACAGUUCAGUGUGUUCUAGUGUCUCUCUCUAUGUAGUGAACUACUGUAACAGUUCAGUGUGUUCUAGUGUCUCUCUCUAUGUGGUGAACUACUAUAACAGUUCAGUGUGUUAGUGUUUAUCUAGGAGGUGAACUACUGUAACAGCUCAGUGUGUUAUAGUGUCACUAGGAGGUGAACUACUGUAACAGUUCAGUUUGUUAAAGUGUCUCUUUCUAGGAGUUGAACUGCAGUAAUAGUUCAGUGUGUUAUAGUGUCUCUAGGAGGUGAACUACUGCAACAGUUCAGUGUGUUAUUGUGUCACUUGGAGGUGAACUACUGUAACAGUUCAGUGUGUUGCCGUGUAACUAGGAGGUGAACUACUGUAACAGUUCAGUGUGUAAU
Molecule: long non-coding RNA, 616 nt
Filed under: Salmo salar (Atlantic salmon)
Lineage: Eukaryota; Metazoa; Chordata; Actinopteri; Salmoniformes; Salmonidae
Description: lncRNA (ENSSSAG00000107478.1)
Source: RNAcentral